RNAcentral lists this long non-coding RNA (346 nucleotides) under Zostera marina. RNAcentral describes it as "long non-coding RNA (ZMAR_LNC002686)". Lineage: Eukaryota; Viridiplantae; Streptophyta; Magnoliopsida; Alismatales; Zosteraceae. The record is from RNAcentral.
AUUAUAUCUCUCCAAUUUUAUUACCUGCAAAUUAUAUAGAUAGAUGAUGUUCAGAAGAGAGAGCUAGCUGGAGUCUGUAGUUGUCGAUCAUCAGCGAUGGUGGUGUGUUGGUGGUGGAGGAUGGUGCACAGGAGGAGGUGGUGUGUGGACUACAACCACUGGAGGAGUGUGAUGGGACGACGGUGGUGGAGGCGGAGUUUCCUUCACAACAACCACUACAGGAGGUGGGGAUGGAGUAGGAUGAUGAUGCUUCCCUGUAAACCAAAGAUCAACACCAUUCCAGUCAUGAAAUAUUAUCCAAAAGUACAGGAACUUUGCAAUUCACGAUGAGUAAGUAAUUACCUGG